This 301-nucleotide ribosomal RNA is filed under the name uncultured bacterium. RNAcentral describes it as "partial 16S ribosomal RNA". It matches the Rfam family "Bacterial small subunit ribosomal RNA", at positions 509 to 809 of the family's 1533-position model. The record is from RNAcentral.
CAGCAGCCGCGGGAAUACGGAGGGUGCAAGCGUUAAUCGGAAUUACUGGGCGUAAAGCGCGCGUAGGUGGUUUGUUAAGUUGGAUGUGAAAUCCCCGGGCUCAACCUGGGAACUGCAUCCAAAACUGGCAAGCUAGAGUAUGGUAGAGGGUGGUGGAAUUUCCUGUGUAGCGGUGAAAUGCGUAGAUAUAGGAAGGAACACCAGUGGCGAAGGCGACCACCUGGACUGAUACUGACACUGAGGUGCGAAAGCGUGGGGAGCAAACAGGAUUAGAUACCCCCGUAGUCCCUGUCUCUUAUAA